This 21-nucleotide microRNA is filed under the name Oryza sativa (Asian cultivated rice). Its description in RNAcentral is "osa-miR3982-5p". Lineage: Eukaryota; Viridiplantae; Streptophyta; Magnoliopsida; Poales; Poaceae. RNAcentral also lists the same sequence under 1 other name. The record is from miRBase by way of RNAcentral.
GCGCUCCACGUAGGCAACAAU